Molecule: non-coding RNA, 952 nt
Filed under: Osphranter rufus (red kangaroo)
Lineage: Eukaryota; Metazoa; Chordata; Mammalia; Diprotodontia; Macropodidae
Description: 12S ribosomal RNA
Rfam family: Bacterial small subunit ribosomal RNA
Source: RNAcentral
UAAAGGUUUGGUCCUAGCCUUACUGUUAAUUGUAGUUAGAUCUACACAUGCAAGUUUCCGCUGUCCAGUGAAAAUGCCCUCAAAAUUAAAACUAAAUUAAUAGGAGCGGGUAUCAGGCACACUCACAAGUAGCCCAUAACGCCUUGCUUUGCCACACCCCCACGGGAUACAGCAGUGACUAAUAUUAAGCCAUAAACGAAAGUUUGACUAAGUCAUAACUAACUAGGGUUGGUAAAUCUCGUGCCAGCCACCGCGGUCAUACGAUUAACCCAAAUUAACAGAUAAACGGCGUAAAACGUGUUUAAGCUAAAAUACUCACAAUAAAGCUAAGAUCUAACUAAACUGUAAUACGUUAUAGUUAGUAUCAAAAUAAAUAACCAAAGUAGCUUUAGUCACGCUGAAGACACUACAGCUAAGAGACAAACUGGGAUUAGAUACCCCACUAUGCUUAGCCUUAAACCCAGAUAAUUAAAUAACAAAAUUAUUCGCCAGAGAACUACUAGCCAGUGCUUAAAACUCAAAGGACUUGGCGGUGCCCUAAACCCACCUAGAGGAGCCUGUUCUAUAAUCGAUAAACCCCGAUAAACCCCACCUUUUCUUGCCAAUUCAGCCUAUAUACCGCCAUCGUCAGCUAACCCCAAUAGGGAUAAAAAGUAAGCAAGAUCAUCAACCAUAAAAACGUUAGGUCAAGGUGUAGCAUAUGAAAAGGAAAGUAAUGGGCUACAUUUUCUAAAAUAGAAAACAACGAAUUAUCUCAUGAAAACUGAGCAAUAUGAAGGAGGAUUUAGCAGUAAAUUAAGAAUAGAGAGCUUAAUUGAAACAGGCAAUAGGGCGCGCACACACCGCCCGUCACCCUCCUCGACAAAACCUUACAAAUAACUAAUACAACGGAAUACAAAAGAGGAGAAAAGUCGUAACAUGGUAAGUGUACUGGAAAGUGCACUUGGAACAU